GUCACAAGGUAUGGCAGCGGGCCCAGCGCAAAACCAUCCGGAAGAGCUGGCUGCACUGUCACUCUGAGCUUGGGCCAGCAACAGCCUGCAAAAGGGGAAGCAAGAAACUUCCCCCCAUUCCUCCCUUUCUACCCAUUCAUUGCUUCCUGCCUCUUCUCUUUGAUGACCUCAGCUCUCCCUCCUUCUGGCUGUUGUGUGUGCCAGGCCAGAGGCUCAGUGGAGUCAGGUUCUGCCUGUCCUCAGGACUUCCCUGUCAGACAUGGUAGAGGCAUUAAGCACACCUUGAGGGGCAUCAGAGCCAUGGAGCUCUUGGGCCAGCUUUUGGUAAGUUAGGGAAGCCUUCCUGGAGGAGAAAGCACAGCCUUCAGGUGAGGCUUCUCAGAGUGAAGCUGUUUUUGUGGUCUUUCUAGGUCACACUCCACUGCUGAAGGAAGUCAGGACUGGGACUCAAACAGAGCAAGAACCUGGAGCUGGAGCUGACGCCAAGGCCAUGGAGGGGCGGUGCUUACAGGCUUGUUCCCCAUGGCUUGCUCAGCCUGCUUUCUUAUAGCUCCCAGGACUGCCAGUCCAGGCACGGCAACACCCACAGUCAUACUCAACACAUAGAAUCCACAGACGUAAAUGCAUCUCUGAAGGGCCUGCUAAGGCUAGAAGUGUGCCCAACUCCUGGAUGUUGUGCAACAAGACCUUUCCUGGAGGAAUACGACAUACACAUCUGUCUGCUCACCCCAGAUAGGGAACGCACAAGAGACCAAGUAUCUGUGCUAUCGAAGCGAGCACAGCCCUUCUUCCUUUAAGUUGCUUCUGGCGAGGUAUUUUAUCACAACAAGGAGAAAUAUAACUAGUACAGCUUUGACCGUCAUUUAGGAUGGAGGCAACCUACACCGCUACAGAGAACUUGUCCAUGGACGGGACCCUGCCAAAGACCGUCUCGGCUGAGAACUCGGAUUCUUUGCUCCCCAAGGCCCCACCCAGCCUCAGACUUCGUGGAUAGGGGCGAGCUGGGCUGUCCUGAUGCUGCUUCAACUAUACUGCCCUGGGGACGAGAGGCUAGCAAGGCCCUGUUUGUGAGCUUGUCCUAAUUAUCCCAGGAUUCAUUUGCCAGGGUGGUGACUUCACGUGCCAUAAUGGCACUGGCGGCAGGUCCAUCUACGGAGAGAAGUUUGAGGAUGAGAACUUCAUCCUGAAGCACACAGGUCCUGGCAUCUUGUCCAUGGAAAAUGCUGGACCAAACACAAAUGUUUUUUAUCUGCACCAGUUUUUUUUUUUAUCUGCACCGUCAAGACUAAGUGGGUGGAUGGCAAAUGUGCUCUUUGGGAAGGUGAAAGAAGAUAUGGACAUUGUGGAAGCCAUGGAAUGUUUCAGGUCCAGGAACGGCAAGACCAGCAAGAAGAUCGCCAUUUCCGACUUGGGCAACUCUAAUUCAUACCCACCAGACCAUUCCCUCUGUAGCUCAGGAGAGCAUCCCUCGCCCCCAUCUGCUCGCAAUUCCCUUUAAUCUCUGCUCUCACUGAAAUUCUUUGGGUUCCAUAUUUUCCUCAUUCCCAUCCAAGUCUAGCUGGAUUGCAGAGUUAAGUUUAUGAUUAUGAAUAAAAACUAAGUAA
Molecule: long non-coding RNA, 1604 nt
Organism: Mesocricetus auratus (golden hamster)
Lineage: Eukaryota; Metazoa; Chordata; Mammalia; Rodentia; Cricetidae
Exons: 6
Source: RefSeq, a predicted model, not a curated record